RNAcentral lists this transfer RNA (72 nucleotides) under Hofstenia miamia. RNAcentral's name for it is "tRNA-Pro for anticodon AGG". It matches the Rfam family "tRNA". Rfam says of the family: Transfer RNA (tRNA) molecules are approximately 80 nucleotides in length. Their secondary structure includes four short double-helical elements and three loops (D, anti-codon, and T loops). The record is from RNAcentral. Lineage: Eukaryota; Metazoa; Xenacoelomorpha; Acoela; Hofsteniidae.
GGGUUAGUGGUCUAGUGGUAUGAUUCUCGCUUAGGGUGCGAGAGGUCCCGGGUUAAAUUCCCGGCUAACCCC